This 500-nucleotide ribosomal RNA is filed under the name uncultured bacterium. Its description in RNAcentral is "partial 16S ribosomal RNA". It matches the Rfam family "Bacterial small subunit ribosomal RNA", at positions 30 to 523 of the family's 1533-position model. The record is from RNAcentral.
AUUGAACGCUGGCGGCAUGCCUUACACAUGCAAGUCGAACGGCAGCACGGGAGCAAUCCUGGUGGCGAGUGGCGAACGGGUGAGUAAUAUAUCGGAACGUGCCCAGUCGUGGGGGAUAACGUAGCGAAAGCUACGCUAAUACCGCAUACGAUCUAUGGAUGAAAGCGGGGGAUCGCAAGCCCUCGCGCGAUUGGAGCGGCCGAUAGCAGAUGAGGUAGUUGGUGAGGUAAAGGCCCACCAAGCCGACGAUCUGUAGCUGGUCUGAGAGGACGACCAGCCACACUGGGACGGAGACACGGCCCAGACUCCUACGGGAGGCAGCAGUGGGGAAUUUUGGACAAUGGGCACAAGCCUGAUCCAGCAAUGCCGCGUGCAGGAUGAAGGCCUUCGGGUUGUAAACUGCUUUUGUACGGAACGAAACGGCGAGCUCUAAUACAGUUUGCUAAUGACGGUACCGUAAGAAUAAGCACCGGCUAACUACGUGCCAGCAGCCGCCGUAA